Prionailurus viverrinus (fishing cat) is the source of this 495-nucleotide long non-coding RNA. RefSeq lists it as uncharacterized. Lineage: Eukaryota; Metazoa; Chordata; Mammalia; Carnivora; Felidae. The record is from RefSeq and is a predicted model, not a curated record. The transcript is spliced from 3 exons.
GAAGGGAAUCCACGAGAGAUGGCGGAGGACCCACAGAAGCCAGGGAGCAUCUGAACGCAACUGAGGAAUCAGCUGGAGUUCACAUCCCCCCUCAUGUCUGCGUGGCAAGAUGGCAGAGGGAGACCACAGGAGGCCUGGCGUGCAGCCGACAGAGCGCUGCAAACCCAAACGUCACGUCCCCUGACUCCUCUCAGACAUUGAUGAAGUGCCAGGCAACAUGCAGGAGGCAAACUGCUAGAACUGGAGGAGACUGGAUCGAUGAGGAAGAUACGGUGUUCCUGCUCUUGGGAAGCCCACAGACAUUUCCAUAAACAGCUACAAACAACUUGGAACAUCGUAUAAUAAAGGCAUGUGUGUUAUGUACAUUUAUGUACGUAUGUGUGUGUGUAUCCGGAGGAACACAGAAGGGCGCGUGACAAUCACGUCUAGAUGUGAUCCUGUUGUCAGAGGUGCGAGAGGCAGGCACGUUCUAUGGACCUUAGAGACUGAAAGAUG